RNAcentral lists this ribosomal RNA (281 nucleotides) under uncultured prokaryote. Its description in RNAcentral is "partial 16S ribosomal RNA". It matches the Rfam family "Bacterial small subunit ribosomal RNA", at positions 524 to 803 of the family's 1533-position model. The record is from RNAcentral.
UACGUAGGGGGCUAGCGUUAUCCGGAAUUACUGGGCGUAAAGGGUGCGUAGGUGGUUUCUUAAGUCAGAGGUGAAAGGCUACGGCUCAACCGUAGUAAGCCUUUGAAACUGGGAAACUUGAGUGCAGGAGAGGAGAGUGGAAUUCCUAGUGUAGCGGUGAAAUGCGUAGAUAUUAGGAGGAACACCAGUUGCGAAGGCGGCUCUCUGGACUGUAACUGACACUGAGGCACGAAAGCGUGGGGGGCAAACAGGAUUAGAUACCCGUGUAGUCCCUGAGCGGG